Long non-coding RNA from Ictalurus punctatus (channel catfish), 1267 nucleotides. The record is from Ensembl. Lineage: Eukaryota; Metazoa; Chordata; Actinopteri; Siluriformes; Ictaluridae.
ACAUACACACACACACACACACACACACACACACACACACGCACACACACACACACACACACACACACUUAUAAUUCUCCACCUGCAGCCAGUAAAAAACACAGAAAACACCCCUCAACUUGAAAUAUCAACUCAUACACUUGGGUCGGUUUCUUCAACUACCAGUUCCUUCUCCGUUUACUGAGCGAGAUCAAGUCAAUAAUGUUCAUGUUCUGGAUUCUUUCAGCUGCUUUUGUUGUAAAGUGUCGUCACACAGGCAGGGCGAGGACACCUUGCUCCAGUCGGACUCGUUAAGCAAGCGCAGGAAUGCUGCAUAUCUCAGCUGCUGUCUGCUUUCCAGCACACGCUGAGAUCUCAGCUCCAGAGCGAUGGACUUCACCAAGCGUGUGGGACGCUGCUUCGGCUUCUUCGUCCUGGCCAUCGUGCUGGAUGUGGCCGGCCUCGUCCUGUUCCUGCUCGGCAUCUUCGCCCAGCUCAGCUUCUGGGAUUUCUUCGUGCUCUCGGGCCCCAUCAUCAUCUUCCUCAGCCUGCUCUUUUGGAUCUUCUGGUACUUGGGGAACAUCAACGUGCCCUACCAGCAGCUCCUAUCCUGAAGGAAAGGAAUGGAGGAGUGGAGCGGAGGGGAAAGAGGGAUUGGGGACUCUCGAGUUUACGAGCAAAGGGGAGAAAUCAAGUACUUUGGGGGACCUGUGAAGUGUACGCUAUGGUUUAGCACAGAGGGAUCUGCUGUCAUCAUGACGUGUCAAAACCCUGCAUGAACAAUACACCUUGCAAAAGAGUGUGAUGAACUCCCCAGGACUCAAUCUGCACUCUGUGCACUUUGUUUAAGGCUGCUUGUUCUGAAAUUGGAACGAAGCCGAGUCAGUGAUGGCGCUGGUACUGCUCUGUAUUUAAAUAUGAGAAAUAAAUGUGAUUUGAAGGCAUGAAGGUGAGUUGAAGUGGGUCAGAGUUAUACUGUACAAAGAAUUCACUGUAAACAUUAUAAUGACGUUCAGAUUCCAGGCCAAAGCUGUCCAACUGGAUGAGCCAGUGUGUGUGUGUUGUGUGUGUGUGUGUGUGUGUGUGUGUGUGUGUGUGUGUGUGUGUGUGUGCACACCCACUGGCACACACCUUGCAUGUUUCAGCACUCAGGAAACCUCUUAUACUGAAAUUACAAGUUACAAGAACAGAAACCAGAACUUCGGAUCUAUUUGGUGUGUGAUGAUGAUGUCACUGUUGUGAAAUGAGAUCUUCAUCUGUGCUUCUCUCUCUCUUUCUCCCGUUCUCU